This 915-nucleotide long non-coding RNA is filed under the name Anser brachyrhynchus (Pink-footed goose). RNAcentral's name for it is "lncRNA (ENSABRG00000006498.1)". Lineage: Eukaryota; Metazoa; Chordata; Aves; Anseriformes; Anatidae. The record is from RNAcentral.
GUGCAUGCUCCUGGUGCAUGAUUUGCAUGCAAACCUUGCUUGGUGCAUGCUCCCAGUGCACACGGCGCUUGCAAACUGUGCUCUGUGCAUGCUCCUGGUGGGCGUUUUGCAUGCAGAGGCACUCUGUGUGUGCUCCCAGCGUGCACUGGGCGUGCUAACUGUGCUCCAUGCGCGCUCACGGCGCGCACCGCGCAUGCAAAAGUGCUGCGUGCGUGCUCGCGGUGCACGUGGUGCGUGCAAACCCUACUCAGUGCAUGCUCACGGCGUGUGUUCUGGGCGCAAAACUGCUCGGGGCACGCUGAUGGUGCACGGUUUGCAUGCAAACCUUGCUCUCUUCAUGCUCACAGCGCACCUUCUGCAGGCAAACGUGCUCCGUGCACGCUCACGGUGUGCACUGUGCAUGCAAAAGUGCUCUGUGCAUGCUCACAGUGCCCAUGGUGCAUGCAAACAGCGCGCGGUGUACGCUCACGGUGCGCGUUUUGCAUGCAAAGGUGCUCUGUGUGUGCUCGCAGUGUGCACAGGGCACGCAAAACCUGCUUGGUGCACGCUCAGUGUGCAUUGCGCAUGCAAGCCUUGCUCCGUGCACGCUCCCGGUGCACACUGUGCUUGGAAACUGUGCUCGGUGCAUGCUCCUGGUGCACGUUCUGUGUGCAGACCUUGCUCUGUGCAUGCUCUUGGUGCAUGUGCUGGGCGCAAAACUUGCUCCGUGCACGCUCCCGGUGCACAAUUUGCACACAAACAUGCUCCAUGCGUGCUCACAGGGUGCACUGUGCCUACAGACCCUGCUCCGUGCACCCUCACAGUGCACACUGUGCUUGCAAACUGCGAUCUGGGCCCGCUCCUGGUGCAUGUUCUGCAUGCAAACCCUGCUCAGUGCAUGCCCCUGGUGCACAAUUUGCGUGCAAACCUUGCUUG